GGCCAGAUGCCCCGCAAGUGAUUCCUACAAAACCCCGUCAGAGCCGGAAGGCAGCAGCGGUAUGUAGCGGAUGCUGUGCCGGGGAUUAUCUGGUCUCU
Molecule: signal recognition particle RNA, 98 nt
Filed under: Treponema sp.
Lineage: Bacteria; Pseudomonadati; Spirochaetota; Spirochaetia; Treponematales; Treponemataceae
Description: signal recognition particle sRNA small type
Rfam family: Bacterial small signal recognition particle RNA
About the family: The signal recognition particle (SRP) is a universally conserved ribonucleoprotein involved in the co-translational targeting of proteins to membranes. Archaeal SRP consists of a 7S RNA and homologues of the eukaryotic SRP19 and SRP54 proteins. In most bacteria, the SRP consists of a 4.5S RNA and the Ffh protein (a homologue of the eukaryotic SRP54 protein).
Source: RNAcentral